This 387-nucleotide ribosomal RNA is filed under the name uncultured euryarchaeote. RNAcentral's name for it is "bacterial SSU rRNA". It matches the Rfam family "Archaeal small subunit ribosomal RNA", at positions 339 to 727 of the family's 1478-position model. Lineage: Archaea; Methanobacteriati; Methanobacteriota. The record is from RNAcentral.
CUGAGGAAAUUCUUCAAUGCCCGAAAGGGUGAAAGAGUAAACCAGAGUGUUUCCUUAACGGAAACUUUUCUCUGCUGUAAAAAGGCAGAGGAAUAAGGACUGGGCAAGACCGGUGCCAGCCGCCGCGGUAAUCCCGGCGGUCCAAGUCGCAUCCACAUCUAUUGGGUCUAAAACAUCCGUAGCUUGUUUUGAAAGUCUCUUGUGAAAUCUGAUAUCUCAAGUAUCAGGCGUGCAAGAGAUACUGCAAAGCUUUAGAGACCGGAAGACGCAAAGAGUACGUUCGAGGUAGCGGUAAAAUGUGUUAAGCUCGAUCGGACUAACAAUGGCGAAGGCACUUUGCGAGUACGGAUCUGACAGUGAGGGAUGAAGGCUAGGGGCGCAAAAGGG